GGUCGGAUAAGGCGUUUACGCCGCAUCCGGCAAAGGCGCCACGAUGCCUGAUGCGACGCAGGCGCGUCUUAUCAGGCC
Molecule: non-coding RNA, 78 nt
Filed under: uncultured Escherichia sp.
Lineage: Bacteria; Pseudomonadati; Pseudomonadota; Gammaproteobacteria; Enterobacterales; Enterobacteriaceae
Description: Nucleoid-associated noncoding RNA 4 (CssrE)
Rfam family: Nucleoid-associated noncoding RNA 4 (CssrE)
About the family: In E. coli small RNA transcribed from repeated extragenic palindromic element (REP325) called nucleoid-associated ncRNA 4 (nRNA4) collaborates HU protein in condensing the DNA. The secondary structure but not the sequence of the RNA is important in nucleoid condensation.
Source: RNAcentral